Molecule: long non-coding RNA, 1091 nt
Filed under: Sus scrofa (pig)
Lineage: Eukaryota; Metazoa; Chordata; Mammalia; Artiodactyla; Suidae
Description: lncRNA (ENSSSCG00015080352.1)
Source: RNAcentral
GCUAGGAUAUCAACCAUUGUUGAAAGGUAUGCAAAACCAGGGCUUAUCCAUGAGAAUUAAAUACAUCCAGGCCUAUAGACAAAAAACUUGAAAAGAGCUGAAAAAGAAGGUGUUCUCACCACUUUUCCAGCCAAGGGGUCGUAGAACCGCUCCAGGAGCUGGACCACCGUGCUCUUCCCACAGCCGCUGCUGCCCACCAAGGCCAGGGUCUGGCCCUUCUUCACCUCCAGGCUCAGCCCCUGAAGCACUGGGAUGUCUGGUCGAGUGGGGUAGUUGAACAUGACUUCAUUAAAUGUCAGAUUUCCUUCCAUGGUAUUCUAAAAUCAGAACAGCAGUAAUUUGGAUUGUUCCAAUCCUAAAAGCUCAUUUUAUAGCCAACCCUCUAUACCACCAGAUGUCAGAAACCAGUGAUUUUGUAUUAAAAUCAGGUUUCGUUUGUAACUGCUAGAAUGUAUGUAAUACAUAAGCUCUAAAAGUGUAGGUGUUUCUUUUUGUUUUAUUAAAGUUUAGUUGAUUUAUAAUGUGUUAAUUUCUGCCCUACAGCAGAGUGAUUGAGUUAUACACAUAUAGUCUUUUUCACAUUCUUUUCCAUUGUGGUUUAUUACAGGAGACUGGAUGUAGUUCCCUGUGAUAUACAAUAGGACCUUGCUGUUUAUCCAUUCUAUGUAUAGUUGCCUCUGCCAAUCAAAGGGUUGGUGUUUUGAUAGCAUGUCUUGUUAACACAAUACAAAUGUGAUCACUUAAAUGUGUUCCCCCAAAAUAGAGUAACUUACAUAUAAUAAAACCUGACUGGGAUUAAAGUGGGCAGUGUUUCCAUAUUUUUUGUGGCUCCGUUAUGCAAAAGUACUAGAUGACCAGAGUUCCCAUCAUGGCACAGUGGUUAACGAAUCCGACUAGGAACCAUGAGGUUGCGGGUUCGAUCCCUGGCCUUGCUCAGUGGGUUAACGAUCUGGCAUUGGGGUGAGCUGUGGUGUAGGUUGCAGACUCGGCUCAGAUCCUAUGUUGCUGUGGCUCUGGUAUAGGCUGGUGGCUACAGCUCCGAUUCAGCCCCUAGCCUGGGAACCUCCAUAUGCUGUGGGAGCGGCUCAAGA